RNAcentral lists this ribosomal RNA (310 nucleotides) under uncultured Streptococcus sp. RNAcentral's name for it is "bacterial SSU rRNA". It matches the Rfam family "Bacterial small subunit ribosomal RNA", at positions 355 to 657 of the family's 1533-position model. The record is from RNAcentral. Lineage: Bacteria; Bacillati; Bacillota; Bacilli; Lactobacillales; Streptococcaceae.
UAGGGAAUCUUCGGCAAUGGGGGCAACCCUGACCGAGCAACGCCGCGUGAGUGAAGAAGGUUUUCGGAUCGUAAAGCUCUGUUGUAAGAGAAGAACGUGUGUGAGAGUGGAAAGUUCACACAGUGACGGUAACUUACCAGAAAGGGACGGCUAACUACGUGCCAGCAGCCGCGGUAAUACGUAGGUCCCGAGCGUUGUCCGGAUUUAUUGGGCGUAAAGCGAGCGCAGGCGGUUUAAUAAGUCUGAAGUUAAAGGCAGUGGCUUAACCAUUGUUCGCUUUGGAAACUGUUAAACUUGAGUGCAGAAGGGG